GGAACGCGCCAAGGAACUCAAACUGAAUUGCACGUCAUUUCAUAACAUAAAUGACUCUCGGCAACGGAUAUCUCGGCUCUCGCAUCGAUGAAGAACGUAGCGAAAUGCGAUACUUGGUGUGAA
This 123-nucleotide ribosomal RNA is filed under the name Pittosporum yunckeri. RNAcentral describes it as "5.8S ribosomal RNA". The stretch from base 53 to 123 matches the Rfam family "5.8S ribosomal RNA", at positions 1 to 71 of the family's 154-position model. Rfam says of the family: 5.8S ribosomal RNA (5.8S rRNA) is a component of the large subunit of the eukaryotic ribosome. It is transcribed by RNA polymerase I as part of the 45S precursor that also contains 18S and 28S rRNA. Lineage: Eukaryota; Viridiplantae; Streptophyta; Magnoliopsida; Apiales; Pittosporaceae. The record is from RNAcentral.